CCCCUGGCUCCGGGGAUGCCCUUGUGACCAAAAUUCAGACAAUACAGUUCUGCGUUACAGUUUAGUCUGGUCAUAACUGGAGUCAAGAUUCAAGUGGACAUAGGAUCCAAGUCUGCACAAUCCAUCUCUGACUUGUAGUUCUGAGGCUUCACUUUGAUCUUCCUGAGACAAGGACUGGAAUUUAGAGUUUCAAAGAUAUAUGUUCUGGAGCUGCUACAGACAGAGCCUGGCUGAGGACUGAUCCAAAAUAGAGGUGAGAAGAACCAGAAGACAGACAAAAAUAAUCCAGAUUCUGACAGUUUUAUUGUAAGCUUCUCAUCAAGGUGCUCCAAAGUUUCGAAGGCUGGAAGUCCAAGUUCAAGGUACCUGCAGAUUCGGUGUCUGGCUUCCUGGUUCAUACAUGACUGUCUUCUUGCUGUAUCUCCACAUGUCUUCAUGUGAUGGAAGAGGAAACAUCUUGACCAGACCUACCCAUGAAUGGCUGCAGGAAAGAAGACAUUAAUACAUCCCUUUCAGAGUCUAGUCAGAGCCAGGAAAUAUUUUUAAAGACGUAUUUCCUUUUUUGACUUUACCUCCUCACCUCCCCUUCUUUGUUCUGAAAAAGAAACUAGCAUCCAAACCCCAGGCAAAAUGGUUCUCUGGAACACUAG
This is a long non-coding RNA of Camelus dromedarius (Arabian camel), 650 nucleotides long. RefSeq lists it as uncharacterized. The record is from RefSeq and is a predicted model, not a curated record. NCBI's taxonomy places the organism in Eukaryota, Metazoa, Chordata, Mammalia, Artiodactyla, Camelidae. The transcript has 3 exons.